Molecule: ribosomal RNA, 750 nt
Filed under: uncultured bacterium
Lineage: Bacteria
Description: bacterial SSU rRNA
Rfam family: Bacterial small subunit ribosomal RNA
Source: RNAcentral
CAGGCCUAACACAUGCAAGUCGAGCGGACUUAUCCUUCGGGAUAGGUUAGCGGCGGACGGGUGAGUAACACGUAGGCAACCUGCCUGUAAGAUCGGGAUAACUACCGGAAACGGUAGCUAAGACCGGAUAGCUGGUUUCUCCGCAUAGGGGAAUCAUGAAACACGGGGCAACCUGUGGCUUACGGAUGGGCCUGCGGCGCAUUAGCUAGUUGGUGGGGUAACGGCCCACCAAGGCGACGAUGCGUAGCCGACCUGAGAGGGUGAUCGGCCACACUGGGACUGAGACACGGCCCAGACUCCUACGGGAGGCAGCAGUAGGGAAUCUUCCGCAAUGGGCGCAAGCCUGACGGAGCAACGCCGCGUGAGUGAUGAAGGUUUUCGGAUCGUAAAGCUCUGUUGCCAAGGUAGAACGCCUCGGAGAGUAACUGCUCUGAGGGUGACGGUACUUGAGAAGAAAGCCCCGGCUAACUACGUGCCAGCAGCCGCGGUAAUACGUAGGGGGCAAGCGUUGUCCGGAAUUAUUGGGCGUAAAGCGCGCGCAGGCGGUCUUUUAAGUUUGGUGUUUAAGCCCGGGGCUCAACCCCGGUUCGCACUGAAAACUGGGAGACUUGAGUGCAGGAGAGGAAAGCGGAAUUCCACGUGUAGCGGUGAAAUGCGUAGAGAUGUGGAGGAACACCAGUGGCGAAGGCGGCUUUCUGGACUGUAACUGACGCUGAGGCGCGAAAGCGUGGGGAGCAAACAGGAUUAGAU